Molecule: small RNA, 97 nt
Filed under: Salmonella enterica
Lineage: Bacteria; Pseudomonadati; Pseudomonadota; Gammaproteobacteria; Enterobacterales; Enterobacteriaceae
Also listed under: 2 other names
Description: partial RtT sRNA
Rfam family: RtT RNA
About the family: This family represents a bacterial cis-regulatory element known as RtT RNA. The exact function of RtT is unknown although it is thought that it may be involved in changing the cellular response in relation to amino acid starvation.
Source: RNAcentral
AUAUCUCUCCGUACGGGAAGGAUGAGAAGCUUCGACUAAGGUUCGAUUCGAGCGCAGCGAGAACGCGUUGCCGCAGGCAACGACCCGAAGGGCGAAG